GGGCCCAUAGCUCAGUUGGUUAGAGCACCUGACUCAUAAUCAGGGAGUCGCAGGUUCAAGCCCUGCUGGGCCCA
Thermophagus xiamenensis is the source of this 74-nucleotide transfer RNA. It matches the Rfam family "tRNA". From Rfam's summary of the family: Transfer RNA (tRNA) molecules are approximately 80 nucleotides in length. Their secondary structure includes four short double-helical elements and three loops (D, anti-codon, and T loops). The record is from Rfam. Lineage: Bacteria; Pseudomonadati; Bacteroidota; Bacteroidia; Marinilabiliales; Marinilabiliaceae.